Long non-coding RNA from Neopsephotus bourkii (Bourke's parrot), 1108 nucleotides. RefSeq lists it as uncharacterized. The transcript has 6 exons. Lineage: Eukaryota; Metazoa; Chordata; Aves; Psittaciformes; Psittacidae. The record is from RefSeq and is a predicted model, not a curated record.
UUGAACUAGCCACUGUUCAAAAUCAUUGUGCUGAAUACUUUGUAAGAUGGAACGUUCUUUUGAUUUACUUAUGUUGGCCUUUAACAGUCUAUACUAUGAACUAACUUGGAAAGUGAAGCAACGGGUCAGAAUUCAUGCUGGGGGGGAUAAAUGAAUACAAACUGAGAGAUUUUUCAUAUACUUUGAUCCACAUUAACUCUUUAAUACCUUGCAGGUUCACAAUUAUGUUUAGAAUAUAUUUUGUCAGCUGUACGUUCACAGUUUUGCCCAUAUUUCCUCAAGCUGAAGGGACGAACACAGAAAGGUUUUGUAUUGCUUGCCUGGAAAAUAGCUAUGACCCUAUGUGUACUGAGAAAGUAAGUAAUCACCUAGACAAAUGAUAAUUGUUAUUCUUAUCUGAAAAAAAAAAAAAAGAAGUGAAAGAAUAACAAAAGACUUGUCACCAAAAACACCGUCACCAGUAAGAAAAAAAGUUAAAGUCACAUCAGCUGCUGAGUUGAAACCUUUUGUUGCAUGAGGAGGACUAAAUCUAUGUGCUAAUAGGAUCCUCAAUUAUACACCAUUCCCUGCCUCAUUCCAAAACUAAAAGAAGAGAUGCUCUGGUCUGGUUUCGACAAGCGAUGUUUCAGCAAUUGCACACAGUGGAGAUUUUUUCAAGGCACAUCAGGCAUAUCCUGUAUCAAAACGGAUGGACCAUGCAAGAACACACUUCCAGCACUUAACAAGUAAGUUAGUUUUCAUAAGGAUGAGAAAGUGCCUCCUGAGACAACACAUUGCUGAGAAGAAUUAGAACACCAAAGAAAAGCUCCCUUCAGUACAAGAUCAGCAGUGAAAUUGCAGGGACUUGCAGAUAGAUUUGAAUAAACCCAUUUCUAUGAAGACAUAAGGAAGAAAUGAUCAGAAGGUCAAAGGUCAGAGCUCCCUGUUUAAUUUUUUAAUGAUUUCCAAUUCUUGACAAGGUUCCCAGUAUCAACAUUCUGCUCAGUUAUUUGCCCAGCACUCAUCCUAUUCAUAUUUGAUAUAGGAUAAUUAGCAACUGGCCUUGAGAAGUGCAGCCCUUUCUACCAUCUGCGCAAUCAAUGUUAGAAAGUGUUCUUCUUCCUAGGGA